GCUCGUUGUUAAUUAAUUGGACCUUGUUGUAAAGUGUUACAACAUACAUUCUUAUAUAUACUUUGUUUCACCACUGAUUUAUUUAUUUAUUUUUUCUACAUUGUCUAAACAAUCUUGUUGGCCUACUGUAAGAAGUGCUAUAGUUAGUAAAUUCAUCAUCAAACAUUGGCAGAUAAACAAAAAUAAACACAGUACAAUAUGAAUUUUUGUUGCAGGUUUUACUAUUUUUAUUUCGAUUUUUUUUUUUUUUUUUCAGGUUUUUCCAUUUUUAUUAAUUUUUUUGGAAAGAGUUGCACUCAGCCUUCAUUAAAACAAAACAAAAAACAGGUUGGUUUCACAGCAGGCCAUCCUCAUCACCUGCCAACCAAGCAACAGACAACCAGAAACCGACCAAAGGGGAUUUGUUUGGUUGCUUCUAGUUUUCUGGUGCUUUGUCAGCGGGUCAUAGACCUGGCGCUGUUCACUUCAGGUCCACUGGACCCCGGCCAGAGAUCCAGUGUUGCCAGAGAAUGCACUAGAACAGGGCAGUGGACCCGAGUGCCCGAAUCCCUUGGCAGUUGGGUUCUCCUCCUCUCCUCCUCAAAAUCUAAACACAGAAUGAUCAUCACAUUAUUAUAUCUAAAGUUCAAAGAUACAGGACUGAUCUAAUAAUAAUUUAAAGUGAAAGAUAGCCUACUUACAAAAUAAUAAACGCAAGCAUCGGCACAAUGCCAAAGAGAUCCUUAGGCAGCGUGACGUCUCAACUCGUGUGCAGUCAUCUAGUGGCAGCUAAAAUUGAGAGGAAUUGAAAAAAGAUCUGUUUUGUAAAAUGGAUUGUACAUUUUAUUUGACAAAUGGGUGGUGGUUUUAUUCAAUACGUUACACGAGCACAACUUCCUUAUUGCGUAUAGCCAGUAAAGAGAUCACAGAAAAAGAUACAUUAUUUAAAAAGUAUGUGAUCAUUACUGCUCUCAAUUUUAAAAGUCAAAUAAACAGCUAGGAUCACUCACCAGUCUGCACACUAGAUCACAGCAUACAAGCUGUCCAUCUCCGCUCCAUAUCAGACAAGAGUCUGCAGGAUAGAAAGGAGGGGUCUCUGUUUCCUCUCGCUUAAAUACUCUAACACUUCCUCAGUGAACUCCUCCCUCUCCUCAUCAGAUUCGGUUUCUCAGUAAAGUGAAAGCUACAGUAGGGACUUGUCUAAAGACGUUUUUAUUGUGAUAUUUCAUUACAUUUCUGUUUACUUUUUUUUUUCAUGGUAAUGUUUUAAUCUGUUGGUCCCCCAACCAACAGAAACCGAGCUCACAAAAAGGUUCAAAACCGCAAAUAAUAAAAUAACAUUCAGAAAGACAAAAAAAAAAUCGUCAUUGUAUAACUAAACAAAACACUUCCAAACAACCCCUUACCACAUAACCAAUAACUCAGUAGUAUAAAGCGGUGGUUCUUAACUCUUAUUUGGUGGACCCACUGCUCUGUACAUUUUGUAUGUCUCUUCUACCUGACAGCUGACACACUCAUUUCAGUUCAUGGAUCUCUCUCUCUCUUAACGAGCUGAUGAUUUGAA
RNAcentral lists this long non-coding RNA (1543 nucleotides) under Sinocyclocheilus anshuiensis. RNAcentral's name for it is "lncRNA (ENSSANG00000001792.1)". The record is from RNAcentral. Lineage: Eukaryota; Metazoa; Chordata; Actinopteri; Cypriniformes; Cyprinidae.